UUUAAAGCAAAACUGCAGGCGCCGGGCGCUCUAGCUGCUAGGCUGGGCUUGAGAGUUUGGUGUCCCCGCGGAGACCUCCCUAGCCAGGGAAACUGGGAACUAAGCCCAGUGAAGCGUCUAUACUUUAGUUUUCUAUUCCUCUCAGCAGCUAUGAGACGGAGGGAUUACUAUAGCCAGUUCAUUUUACAGAUGGGGAAAGUGAGGGCCUUCCCUUACUCCAGAUGACACAACUAGAAGUGUGGCGGAGCAGGCAUGUGAACCUAAUCCAAAGCCGAGCCUCGUUCUCCUUUGCCUCGAAGCCCACCCACCCGGGCAAAAUUUAUACAAAAUGGGAAUCAGAAACCCCCUUUCAGCUUGGGGAACAGACAUGUUUAUGGCAAUGUUUAGACCAGCAACGAUCGUAUCACUGUGCAACACAAUGACUGAAGAUGGAACUGAGCCGGCUGUUGGCAGAUCUCUAAGCAACACAA
Molecule: long non-coding RNA, 470 nt
Organism: Gorilla gorilla gorilla (western lowland gorilla)
Lineage: Eukaryota; Metazoa; Chordata; Mammalia; Primates; Hominidae
Exons: 2
Source: RefSeq, a predicted model, not a curated record